GACGUAGGGCGCGAGCGUUGUCCGGAUUUAUUGGGCGUAAAGAGCUCGUAGGCGGCUUGUCGCGUCGUUCGUGAAAACCCGGGGCUCAACUCCGGGCUUGCGGGCGAUACGGGCAGGCUAGAGUUCGGUAGGGGAGACUGGAAUUCCUGGUGUAGCGGUGAAAUGCGCAGAUAUCAGGAGGAACACCGGUGGCGAAGGCGGGUCUCUGGGCCGAUACUGACGCUGAGGAGCGAAAGCGUGGGGAGCAAACAGG
This 253-nucleotide ribosomal RNA is filed under the name uncultured bacterium. RNAcentral describes it as "partial 16S ribosomal RNA". It matches the Rfam family "Bacterial small subunit ribosomal RNA", at positions 524 to 776 of the family's 1533-position model. The record is from RNAcentral.